GAUAAGAUGACCGGGGGACAGAUUCCCGGGCAAGCGCAGGAGGUGUCAGACAGGCAAAUCCGUCUGACAAGCCAAAGGCGUGACGCGGACCGAACUAAAGUAGGGAAGCGUCUGAUUCCAGCUGCCGAGAAAAGCCGCUAUUGUGUACCAUGUGCCCGUACCGUAAACCGACACAGGUGGAUGAGGAGAGAAUCCUAAGGCCGGCGGGAGAAGCAUUGUUAAGGAACUCGGCAAAAUGACCCCGUAACUUCGGGAUAAGGGGUGCCAGAGAGAUCUGGCCGCAGAGAAUAGGCUCAAGCAACUGUUUAGCAAAAACACAGGUCUAUGCGAAACCGUAAGGUGAUGUAUAUGGGCUGACGCCUGCCCGGUGCUGGAAGGUUAAGAGGAGAGGUUAGAGCAAUCGAAGCUUUGAAUUGAAGCCCCAGUAAACGGCGGCCGUAACAAUAACGGUCCUAAGGUAGCGAAAUUCCUUGUCGGGUAAGUUCCGACCCGCACGAAAGGCGUAAUGAUUUGAGCGCUGUCUCGACAAUGCACCCGGUGAAAUUGAAAUACCAGUGAAGAUGCUGGUUACCUGCGCCAGGACGGAAAGACCCCAUGGAGCUUUACUCCAGCUUGAUACUGGGAUUCGGUAAUGCAUGCACAGGAUAGGUGGGAGGCUACGAGUACGGAACUCCGGUUUCGUAUGAGCCGCUGUUGGGAUACCACCCUUGCGUUACUGGGUUUCUAACCAUGGUCCAUGAUCUGGAUCGGGGACAAUGUCAGGUGGGGAGUUUGACUGGGGCGGUCGCCUCCGAAAGGGUAUCGGAGGCGCUCAAAGGUUCCCUCAGAAUGGUUGGAAACCAUUCGAAGAGUGCAAAGGCAGAAGGGAGCUUGACUGCGAGACCGACGGGUCGAGCAGGUAGGAAACUAGGACUUAGUGAUCCGGUGGUAUGAAAGUGGGAUUGCCAUCGCUCAACGGAUAAAAGCUACCCUGGGAUAACAGGCUUAUCACUCCCAAGAGUUCACAUCGACGGAGUGGUUUGGCACCUCGAUGUCGGCUCACCGCAUCCUGAGGCUGAAGUAGGUCCCAAGGGUUGGGCUGUUCGCCCAUUAAAGCGGUACGCGAGCUGGGUUCAGAACGUCGUGAGACAGUUCGGUCCCUAUCCGGCGCAGGCGGAGGAUAUUUGAGAGGAGCUGUCCUUAGUACGAGAGGACCGGGAUGGACGGACCGCUGGUGUACCGGUUGAGCUGCUAAGCUCAUGGCCGGGUAGCCAAGUCUGGCAGGGAUAAACGCUGAAGGCAUCUAAGCGUGAAGCCCCCCUCAAGAUGAGAUAUCCCAUUCGAAAGAAGUAAGACCCCUUGAAGACGACGAGGUAGAUAGGGCAGAGGUGGAAGUGCAGUAAUUACGGAGCUGACUGUUACUAAUCGGUCGAGGGCUUAUC
Molecule: ribosomal RNA, 1421 nt
Filed under: metagenome
Description: bacterial LSU rRNA
Rfam family: Bacterial large subunit ribosomal RNA
Source: RNAcentral